Molecule: long non-coding RNA, 438 nt
Filed under: Mus pahari (shrew mouse)
Lineage: Eukaryota; Metazoa; Chordata; Mammalia; Rodentia; Muridae
Description: lncRNA (MGP_PahariEiJ_G0005947.1)
Source: RNAcentral
GGGGGCGCGCCUGACUACCGCAUUCCAGCGCCAGCUGCGGGAGACUGGGGACAGGUGGCCUGCAGUAAACUGGGGACCACAGGGCGCUGCAUUCCAGCUGGACCGCAACCUCCAAAGAUAUAGCUUGCAUGAAUCACCACUCAGGCUGGCGUGGGCUUUCCAGUGAUGCAGCUGCCUCUGAGUCACCCACACUCCUCAUGAGACAGUGACAUCUACAUUGUGGAAGAACUGGGCAGUGAUGAGGAAUCAGGGCGUACCAUGUGGACACCUACUCACAAUAAUCACUUACUUACUCCACUGGACUCUGUGACUAACUCACAGCAUUAGUGGAUAAUAAUGCUGAUUUACUGUUUGUUUCAUUGGUUUCUAAUUUGUUACUUAGAAUCAGAGCUUUUAAAAAAGCUAGAAUACUUUAAAUAAAUCCCCUGUGAACCCUAA